CUCACGCUGCUCUUCUCCCUCAUCCGCCCGCCUGGGAUAUUUUUUUCCGCCGCUGUUCUUGGAAAAAUCCAGCCGCCUUUGUUCUUGAUUUCUUCCAGCCGCAAGAUUUUUCUUCACCGUGCAUCUCAAUCCUCUCCUUGGUGGCGCGUGGACGCUUGCUGUGAGCACAGCUCGCCGUUUGCCGCCGCUCAGCUUCAGAAAGAUCUCGCCGACGUUCUCCUCCGAGCGGUUGGCUUUACCUUCUCCCUGCCGUGCUCUCUUUCUUCUCUGCCCCUGCUCGCUCUGCUGCUCUGCGCGCCCCCUGAUUUCACUGCGCGCGAGCUCCUGCGCCCGCCUUCUCCCUUGCCGCGUUCCUUUGGUGGCCGCGCGCCCUCCAGCCCGGAGCUCUGCGCGCCCAGCCCAGCCACUCGCCAUGGCUCCUCCCUGCGCGCGUCGGAGUUCCUCUGCUCGGCCGCCUGCCAUGGAGCUCGCCCUGCCCCCUGUUUCCAUGACCGGCGUCCCCAAGCUCCUCCCCUGCCGGCGUCCAGCACCCGGCCGGAUCUCUCAUGGCGCGCGUGCCCUUCUCUUGGCGGCGCUCACUUUGUGCUUCUCUCUCUCAGCGCUCACGGCUCUUUCUCUCCUGCUCCGUCCAUGGUUGUUUGCCUCUGCUCGCGGCGUCCCUGCUCGCCCAGCCGAGCUCUCCACUGCCUAGCUCCAUCUCACGGCGCUCUGUCUGCUCGGUUCCAUGGCCGUGGUACUCCAGCUCGCCGUGCCCUGCUUCCUCUGUUUCCAUGGCCAGCUCUCUGCUCAUCGCGCGCGCCUGGACGCUCUCCCUGGUGGCCGCCUGUUCUCCCUGUGUACCGCGCGAGUUCUUUGGUAGACGCGCGCUGGCCGUGCUCCACUUCGCCCAUCGCGGCGCUCCAGUUCCAACUCGCUGCGCGCCGAGCUCUUCGCUGUUGUCCGUGCGCGCGCCGCUCGUCGACCUCUCUCCUCACGCAUAGCUCGCUCUUUCCUUGUUUGCCGCGCGCACGAAUUUCAUCUGCUCGCCACAGCGUGUCGAGUUCCCGCACCAUCAUCGCUUCUAUCACAAGCUCGUUGGCCACAUUUAUCUUGACCGUGUCAGCUCACGACUGUGGUCGUGUUCAUCGAAUUCGCCAACGCUUUGUUGCCGAUUCGACUGUCGUCGUUUCGCGUGUUGUCGAGCCCGUCGUUUUCCCUGUCUUGUACUCGCGUGGUUUUCUGCUCGCCGGUGCGCCCUCUCGGCUCGCUCGGCUUUAAUUCCCAAUCGCGUCGUCGAUUCCGCCGGUUAGCGUCGUUCGUCGUCGCGUCGCGGGUGCAGCUCUAUAUACGUCACCCUCCUGUGUCGUCGUCGUUCCGCGCGUCAGCAAGAAGACCCAAGAAUCGGGUGAAGACGAAGCUAGCAGCGCGAUAUUCCCCAAGCGCUCGACAAAUUGCCUGGAUCGGAAAAUCGCUACCGAUCUCGCGGAUUCGUGUCAGCUGUGGAAACGGUAAGCUGAUAAAUUAUUUAGAAUAGUUCGAUCGAUGAAUAAAUUAAUGUGCUAGUGCGAUGCUCAUUAAGGUGCUCGAUAAAUUGCGUAAGUCAUGAAACUCUCGUCGACUUCGCAGUUCUUGCGAUUAUCGAGCCAGGUUCAGUUAUAACGAGUUAUUUCGCUAUUUCGAUUAAUUAGCUGAAUUAGUGGACCGAGUAGAAUUUUGGCAGGCAUGUGUGAUGGUGAAAUAUUUUAAUCAGUUAUAACGAUAUAGUAUAAUUUAUAAAGCAAGGGAUUAGUUCAGAAUUUAAUUAAUUAGCUGAUAAGUUGUGUUUAGGCUAAUUGUGUUUAAUGUGUAUAGUUUGUUGUUCGUGAUGUUUGCGUUAGGUUCGAG
RNAcentral lists this unclassified non-coding RNA (1863 nucleotides) under Zea mays. Its description in RNAcentral is "misc RNA Zm00001eb097620". Lineage: Eukaryota; Viridiplantae; Streptophyta; Magnoliopsida; Poales; Poaceae. The record is from RNAcentral.